AGGUGGAGGCAGAGGGAGGGCUCCAGCCGCCAGCCGGGAGGUGCGGAAGUUCGCCGCCGCUGUUCAUUGGCGGGCAGCGCGGCUUUCAUCAUUUCUCGGAAAAGUCAAUUUCAUUUUCACUUCCCCACGUCGCGGCUGCGGGGAGCAACAAGCGGCAGCGCUCUCCUCCGCCUUCGCUAGCCUCUAGAGAAGGUUCCAUCCCAGGAGAUUGUAACUACGUGUGUGUACAAAUCUGAAAGCCAAUUCUACCCCGUUUGUCAUAGAAGUACUGCAUUCCACAGACAAGAAAAGGAAACGUAUCCAUGUACUUGUGGAAGGAAAAUAGGUGAGAUUAAGGACUCUGUCUUGUCUCUAAAUUAGAUUUCCCUCGUGCACACAUUGUCUUUAUUCCUCCCCUAAUAACAUUGUACAAACCUUGCUUUCAUAUUUCAUACAUCAAUAACCAUGAGAGUAUACAAACUACAGCAUAGUUGUCCCUCUUUAUCAACCUGGCACCUAAGUUAAAAGCUUCAUAACCACCAGUCAGUCAUUCUUUUCUUGCAUGCUUUUUGUGUGCACGAGUACGUGUGUGUGUGUGUGUGUGUGUGUGUGUGUGUGUAUGUGUGUGUGUACAAGUCAUGUACUCACAGAGGUCAGAGUGGCCUGCUCUGUCAUUCUCUACAGUAUUGCUUUAAGACAGAGUUUCUCACUGAGCCUAGAACUAGACUGGCGGCCAGCUGCUCCAGCAGUCUUCAUGCCUCUGGCCGCCACAGCACUGAAAUUAGGUGGGCACAUGGCCAGGCCUGGCUUUUCAAGUGAGUGCUGGGAUUUGAACUCAACUCCCCAUGCUUUUGCAGCAAGCACCCUUCCCCGCCGAGUCAUGUCCACAGCCCCUUCUUUUUGUUGUUUUCUUUGAGGCUGUUCUGCUCAUUUUAGUUUUGCUCAUUUGUCCGUUUGUUUGUUCAUGUCUCUGUCUGGUUUUACACAGGAUCUUCCAGGCUAGCCAGAACUGUAGUCCAAGUAGUCCUGGAACUAAAGAUGUCCCUACCUUAGCUCCCGAGUCCUGGAAUUAUAGGCGUGUGCUCUCUGUGUGUGUUUAUUUUAAUCCACACCCAGAUGAUUGUCUUUUCUCCCUAGAACAGGGAGAGGAAGGGAAGAAAGGUGCCUUUCUGAACUUCUGGCUCAGUCCAGUAUCAAUUCAGCAUCCUUUAUGUGUAGGCCCAAGGAGAGAAAGAAACAAUGAGGUCUGGUGGGGCCAACCAGUGUCACCUCCCUAGUAUCCAUGGCAAUAGCUGCCUCAGUGGUGAAGACUCAGGGAAUCCAGACAGGACAUGACCACAAAUCCUAAUGACUUACGGCCGUGCACAGAGGCUGGUCCUGGAACCCCCAUUGCUGGAUACAGAAAGCAUCCCGACUAUGUGCUUCUGAUGACUGGCCUCCCAUCCAUAAGUCUUCACGAAAUGUUCCGUCAGAAACUGGACCUGCCUGCUCUGAGUACAGCUCCAUCUCACUGUUUGAGAAAGAGCAGCGUCCUAAUGAUGUAUGUAUUGUGUCCUAUUAUGGCUUGAUACGCAACAAAAACGUUUGCUUGGGCUGUUUUGGUCUUUGCAGUUGCCCUUGAUACCUUCCCACAACGUCCAUCCAAUCAGUUGUAUCAGUAUGCAUCCAAUCACAAUCAAUCAUGUCCUAUACACGUCGGUGCAAUGCUCCAGUGUCUCUGGAUAAAGCACAUCCCUAGAGCACUGCCUUCAAUCAUUGGGGUUCCUGAAAACCCUGCCCAGUCUUCCUUGGGUUCCUCUAUUAGACACAGUGUUAUCAAAGUUAAGUGGGAACUUACUUGUCAUUCUUGUCCUCUCUCUGCCCCUCAGAAACCCAUCUGGAGCUUUCAGAAUAGAGGCCGUAUUUGUUAUAAGACAUAUAAAGUCAUUUUAAUGUGGUGGCAGACUGCCAUCUAACCUCGUGUGCUGCCUGUGCACCCUAAAAGACCUGCAUCUCUCCCUUGCUAAGCCAACUGGCUUCCUUUUUGUAGAACAUCAGAGUAUUUCUCAUAUUCCUUGUUUAUCAUUAGUUUGGUGCCCAGCACAUACAUGGUCAAGUAUGUUAGAAUUCACAAUUCCUUUCUCUAAGUUCUGUAGGAAUAGUCUAGACUUUCUCACAUCAUUUGUUUUAUACUUCAGUAACAUUUUAAAUGGUUAUUUUUAUUUUACAUGUAUGAGUGUUUUGCCUGGGUGUGUAUAUAUGCAUUGUGUGUGUGCCUGGAGCCCACAGAAGUCAAAAGAGGACAUCAGAUCUCCUGGAACUGGAAUGUGGAUGGUUGUAGGUCUGCAUUUGGGGGCCAGAAACUGAACCUGGUUCCUCUGCAAGAGUGGUGAGCGUUCUUAACUGUUGAGCCAUCACUCUGGAUCCCUUUAUUAAUAUUUUAAUACAAGUGUAACUGGUUACCAUUAUAUGAAAGUCAGAAAAUAUGGAUUAGCUGGAAGAAAAUAGCAUUGCUGAGCAUGCUAGCCCACGACUGUAAUCCCAGCACGUGGGAGGCUGAGGAAGGUUGAUCCUGAGUUCUAGGCAAGCCUGGACUACAUAGGGAGACCUUGACUCAAAGAAACAAGGUUGAAGAUAUAGCUCAGCUGUUAGUAUUUUCUUAAUGUGAGCAAGGACAUGAAAUCCAGCCCCCACUAUGUGCAUGAAUGUACACACACACACACACACACACACACACGGGGAGGGGAACCUAAAAUUUUACUCUCAGAAUAGAUCUACUGAUAUUCGUAUGUGCUUCCAACUAGUAAUUUUUCAAAUGUGCUGUUUCCAAUCUUCAUCUGCUAACCAUUUCGUGUGCAGACUGUACUUCCCAUCUCCCUCUGGGCUUAUGUGAUAUCUUUCUGUCCUGUUCCGUUUCUUGGCUGGCUUCUCUUUUUCUGCCAGCCCCCUAAAUUAUGGUGUUUCCAAGCAUUCUAUCUUCAACCCUCUCAUUUUCUCAUUUUAUAUGCUCUUUAUCUUUGGGUGCACCCAUCCACGCCCAAAACCCCAGAUAUCGCUACAGAUGGUCCUCUACUUAGCAAUAGUUCUACUUACAAUUUUCCAAUUAUGCAGUGGUACAAAAGCAGCAAGGAUUCAGUGGAGAUUUUGCAUGUUGGUCUUUUAAUGGACCAGCACUAUGCAGUGUAAUACUUGCUGAGCAAUGGCAGACAUCCUCAAGGCAGCCACAAGAUCACCAGGUGAAACAGCCCACACCCUGCAAUGUACCAGCUGCCAAACUAUAACUUUCCCUAGGGUAGGUAUAUCAAAUGCAUUUUAGGAGACAGUAUUUCCACUUGUGGUGGGUUUGUAAAGGUCAGACCUCUUAUAAGUUGAGAAACAUCUAUAUUUGGUGAUGGUUUCAAAAUAAAAUUCUGAGCUAUAGUCACCUUACCUCCUAGAUGCCUGUGAGAUGCGUAUAUAUGUACAUACUUACAUACAUAUUCCAAGUUCAGGUCAAUGCUCACACAAGGAAAACACAGAAAGUGUCUCCCUAUGUCACUCAGGCUGCCUUGAAGUCAGGGUCCUCCUCACAAAUUCUGGGAUUACAGGCUAAAAAUAAACUUGUAACAUCUUGCCCUA
Long non-coding RNA from Mesocricetus auratus (golden hamster), 3576 nucleotides. RefSeq lists it as uncharacterized. NCBI's taxonomy places the organism in Eukaryota, Metazoa, Chordata, Mammalia, Rodentia, Cricetidae. The record is from RefSeq and is a predicted model, not a curated record. The transcript has 2 exons.